GCCGGUAGAUCCCCCGUUGUACUUCGGCCGACUACCGGCGCCGUGUCCCGUCACUCUUGUGGCAUUGUCCCGAUGGAUUGAACCCGUGGCUUGCGUGCUAGUACCCGACCUACGGGAAGUGGUGCUUCGUAUAAUUGUUGCCUCACGGUGGACGCCCUUUGGGUGUGCCAUUGUGACCGAAUAGCGCUUGCGGCGUUGCCUCGUACAACAGCCAUAUAAUGUGCAUGUUGAUAUCACGGCAACCUCGCUCUCGCUUUUGGUCUAGGAUGCUGCUCACGAUAAAGGCUCGAGGCCCUUCGGGUUGCCUCGAUCCGAAACAAUGUUCUCUCUCCGAAAUGGCGAUAACCGGGUACAUGUCUUGCCUCUACCUCUCCACAGUUACGUGGUAGGAUACGCAACCCUAUGAUCCGGCCCUCAUGGAGGAGGAGACAUGCUCUCUCCGAAAUGGCGAUAACCGGGUACAUGUCUUGCCUCUACCUCUCCACAGUUACGUGGUAGGAUAUGCAACCCUAUGAUCCGGCCCUCAUGGAGGAUGAGACAUGCUCUAUCYGAAAUGGCGAUAACCGGGUACAUGUCUUGCCUCUACCUCUCCACAGUUACGUGGUAGGAUAUGCAACCCUAUGAUCCGGCCCUCAUGGAGGAUGAGACAUGCCCGCUCAAAAGCGACAACUGGCUCGGCUGUUGCAUUUGUCUUUCCAUGCAAGUGGAAUUGCAGGGUAACUACCGACGCUGGACGUCACCGAGGACGUGCU
Molecule: unclassified non-coding RNA, 752 nt
Filed under: Bromus sitchensis
Lineage: Eukaryota; Viridiplantae; Streptophyta; Magnoliopsida; Poales; Poaceae
Description: partial external transcribed spacer
Source: RNAcentral